CGGGUGUGGUUCAAUGGUAGAACUUCAGCCUUCCAAGCUGGUAACGUGGGUUCGAUUCCCAUCACCC
RNAcentral lists this transfer RNA (67 nucleotides) under uncultured Catonella sp. It matches the Rfam family "tRNA". Rfam says of the family: Transfer RNA (tRNA) molecules are approximately 80 nucleotides in length. Their secondary structure includes four short double-helical elements and three loops (D, anti-codon, and T loops). The record is from RNAcentral. Lineage: Bacteria; Bacillati; Bacillota; Clostridia; Lachnospirales; Lachnospiraceae.